RNAcentral lists this long non-coding RNA (275 nucleotides) under Citrus maxima (pomelo). Its description in RNAcentral is "long non-coding RNA (CMAX_LNC002922)". Lineage: Eukaryota; Viridiplantae; Streptophyta; Magnoliopsida; Sapindales; Rutaceae. The record is from RNAcentral.
CCAAAUCAGUGUCAAAGACUUCAACAUAAUCAUUUGGAACAGCAAAUCACAUGAAUCCGCAAUCAACAUUUGAGAAUACAAUCAUUCAGGUGAUUGGAGAAAUCUAUAUAAGUUUCCACCCUAUAUACACAAGCAGACAGACACAUGAAAGUUGUGUUCGGUCACAUGCAUAAAGAGCUAGCAUAUGGAAAUGGUCUGCGAAAAAUGAUUGUGGUUGGAGCUAGCAUAUGGAAAUGUUUUGCAGUUUGCAGUUUGUGGAAGUUCUAGGUGCCGAG